This 474-nucleotide ribosomal RNA is filed under the name uncultured organism. Its description in RNAcentral is "partial 16S ribosomal RNA". It matches the Rfam family "Bacterial small subunit ribosomal RNA", at positions 331 to 797 of the family's 1533-position model. The record is from RNAcentral.
GUACACUCCUACGGGAGGCAGCAGUGGGGAAUUUUGGACAAUGGGCGAAAGCCUGAUCCAGCAAUGCCGCGUGAGUGAAGAAGGCCUUCGGGUUGUAAAGCUCUUUUGUCAGGGAAGAAACGGUGAGAGCUAAUAUCUUUUGCUAAUGACGGUACCUGAAGAAUAAGCACCGGCUAACUACGUGCCAGCAGCCGCGGUAAUACGUAGGGUGCAAGCGUUAAUCGGAAUUACUGGGCGUAAAGCGUGCGCAGGCGGUUUUGUAAGUCUGAUGUGAAAUCCCCGGGCUCAACCUGGGAAUUGCAUUGGAGACUGCAAGGCUAGAAUCUGGCAGAGGGGGGUAGAAUUCCACGUGUAGCAGUGAAAUGCGUAGAUAUGUGGAGGAACACCGAUGGCGAAGGCAGCCCCCUGGGUCAAGAUUGACGCUCAUGCACGAAAGCGUGGGGAGCAAACAGGAUUAGAAACCCGAGUAGUCCC